GCCAGGAGGGCGGGGCGGGAGUGGUGAGGAAGGGUCGGGCUCGCGGCCGGUGCUCCCGCGGGCUUGGCGGGCGGGGCGUGGGCGCGCUCCCGGGUCCAGCCCCGGUGCUGGUGCAGGCCGGGGCUGCCCCGACCGGGGUCUCUCCCGGAAGUCGGGGCGCGCAGUGCUGCAGCGGGGGUGGCAAGACCCUGGGGUCUGCCCUCAGCGCUGGGGCGCCUCUGCAGCCUGAGCCUGUUCUCUGGGGGCCCUGCUGCUCCCACCUGCGCGCGCACCUGGCGUGCUGUUCCGGGUGUGCAGGUGGUACCGAGGUACGCGUGUUCAAGGGUGUGGUCUGAGGUGGGUGGUGCUCAAGGUGAAACGCGUGGCUGUAGUUGUCGGUGGACACAAUACGAUGUGGGUUAUGGGUUCCUUUAGGGCGCCCAGGGGGAACCCCGGGCCUCCCACGCGCUGGGGGAGCGCUGCACCCUGAGCCCAGCCGCAGCCCGGGUCUGGUUCUUGAGGUGGGUGUGUGGUGUUCUAGGUAUGCGGGUGCUUGAGUCGUUUUGUCUCAGGAGUGUGUGUGAUGGAGGUGUGUUUGUGGGUCGUGAGGAGGGUGUUGUACUCGAGGUGUGUAUAGUGUGUGUGGUGCUUGGGGUGUGCAUGGUGCUCGAGGUAUCUGGUGCUGUGUGUUGGUGGUGCAUGAGAUGUGUGUGGUGUGCGAGGUGUGUGGUUUAGGUGUGAGUGCGGCUUGAGGUGUGUGGUGUUCAGGGUGUGUGUGGUGAUUCAGGUGUUCUUUAGGUGCGUGUGUGGUGUUUGAGGUGUAUGAGAGAUGUUUGAAGUGGUGUAUUGCUUGAGGGUGGUUGUUUUGCUUGUAUGUGUGGUGUUUGAGGUGUGUGGGUGGUGUUCAAGUUGUGUGGUGCUCCAGGUGUUUGGUGUUUGAGGUGUGUGUGUGGAGUUUGAGGUGUGUCUGUGGUACUUGAAUGGUAUGUGUAUGGUGUUUGAGGUGUGUGUCUGGUGUUCCAGGUGUCUGUGUGGCAUUCCAGGUGUGUUUGUGUUCCAGGUGGAUUUGGUGUUCUAGGUGUGUGGGGUCCAGGUGUGUUUGGGGUCCAGGUGUGUGUGGUGCUAGAGGUAGGAGUACUGUGUGGGGUCCUUUCCUCCUCUGACUCAGGUUUCACCUCUGGAGGAUCCUGUCUGGAAGGUGUCCCUCCCUGAAUUGCUGAGGACUUCACCUUUUCAGCCUCCUGUUUAACUGUUUCAGAGGUGGCAAGAUGGGUGCUUACUCAGUCUCCCUUAACACCUGGAGGUAGUGUAGUCCCUGCCCCUCUAGGGCUGCGUGUGCUGAGGGAUUGGUCUCCUAUGCAGUGGUAUUCUGAGGUGGCUUUUGGGAAGUGAUUGGCUGUGAAGGUGCCAACUUGUAGUGAGGUGCCCCUUUGUGCUGCUGAACUGCCGCUGAGCCAUAACCCCAGUACCCACCCCACCCCCGUGUAUUUUAAAACUGACAUUUUUUUCCUUCCUCUUCUCCCUCCAACUCAGGAAGGCAAGGUUAGCCUUCCCAUCCUAGGCUGAGUUACCUAUUCUUCAGCUUACUGACCACAGAAAUGAAGGAAUCCAGACUUCAGGGCUGGCACGGAGGAUCUGAGAACAAGUCUCCAAGGCCACAUGUGAAUGAUGUCCUGAAGGGCACACCUGGAGCUUACUUUUCCCAUCCCCUCUUUAAUAGCCCACCAUUUCCUGGCAGUGAGAGUCACAGCAUCUGGGACAGGAGACCCCUCUGUGUUCUUCUUUGUUCUUUCCUUUGAAAACAAAACAAAACAAAAAAAAAAAAAUAAAAACAAUUUUAAAAAAUUAAAACUUUUUUUUUAUUUGAAAAAAAAAAUAAAACUUUUUUCCUUUUCCUCAAAACUGUGUCCAGC
RNAcentral lists this long non-coding RNA (1892 nucleotides) under Marmota monax (woodchuck). The record is from RNAcentral. Lineage: Eukaryota; Metazoa; Chordata; Mammalia; Rodentia; Sciuridae.